AUGGACGUCGCGCAGGAUGCGCACAGUACAUAACAGGGACACGGAAGGAUUUCCUGCCAGGACGGCGGGACGAAAAGGAUGUCAGGGAAACAGUCUGCAAAACCCCGCUUCGGCGGGGUUUU
This 122-nucleotide small RNA is filed under the name Pseudomonas putida. The record is from RNAcentral. RNAcentral also lists the same sequence under 2 other names. Lineage: Bacteria; Pseudomonadati; Pseudomonadota; Gammaproteobacteria; Pseudomonadales; Pseudomonadaceae.